This is a long non-coding RNA of Lytechinus pictus (painted urchin), 1557 nucleotides long. RefSeq lists it as uncharacterized. The transcript is spliced from 2 exons. NCBI's taxonomy places the organism in Eukaryota, Metazoa, Echinodermata, Echinoidea, Temnopleuroida, Toxopneustidae. The record is from RefSeq and is a predicted model, not a curated record.
AGCGGUACCGUUAAGACGUGUUACCCUAACUAGAGUACGAGGCUGGCCCUCGUACACCUUAAAAUAAUCCAAACUGACGAGGUAGCAGGAUCUACCGUUUAUUUAUAAAACCCGGGCGCUGGUUUCGUCGCGGGAACAUAACAAUAUAUAGAAGAAGAAAUAUAUAUCAUAUUUUUAUACAACGUAGUCAUCUUUAGAAGAAAUUGUAGUGUUCCAUCAUUCAUCAAGCAUCACCUUCCCACCACUAUCAUCAUCAUCACCAUCGGUCAGGGCUGGACCCUUACAAGAUCUACAAUAACAAAUGUAUAUUUCGGUAAAUGCAUUUUUGAUGCUUAAUUUUGGUGAAAGAUUUUCUGUAUGUGCUCACUUUCUCAUAUGUUGUCUGCUGUUGAUUUAUAUUUGGAGCAUUGAAUGUAAAGAUAUUGGUCUACAUUUGGACACUCUCUCCCGUGUCUCUACCAAUUUUCUCGUCAUAUGGAAUUUCUUGGUUGAAAUGAUCAUGCAUUCAUUUUUGGGGUAUAGAUUUCAUGAAUAGGUUCACGUUCAUGUAUAUUAAACCAGCGGACCACUAUUUUUCCAUUAUGAUAUAGUCAGUUUGCCGCAAUUCUGUUAACAUUCUGAUGAAUAAAUAAAAGUACAUCAAGAUUCUACCAUUCUACAUGCUUAUGGAUUGAUUCAUAAUAUGCAGGAAAACGUAUGAUAAUGAUGUCAUUAUUUGAGUAUACGCCAUAUCACCCAAAAUAGUUAUGACGGUCUGUCAAUAGGACCAAAGAGCACGUAUGGGUGUAUCAACUAUCAUUUUAUUGAGUUCAAUGAGGUACAUUUGUAUCAACUAUCAUUUUAUUGAGUUCAAUGAGGUACACUCUCUCGGGGUUGCGAUGCUUAGUCUGUAACUCCUUGGUUUAUUAACAGUCAUGGCGUUUCAUUCAACUCCAUAUUUUUCUACAACCAGUCCUCCAAUUUCCACCUGACCGAAUGACGAGUUCGGCUAAAUCCCUCAUAGUUCAUUUCGGCUAAGAAAUUAGACCAACAAUUAAUUGGGUAAAGUGAUAAUUGAGACAAGUGGUUAUCUGUUAGAUACUAUCAUGACUAUAACAAUCAGAUAAAUUACCGGAAAGGCAAAAUCAAACGUGGUUUAAAAGGGGUUAGACUGAAUGAAGAUGGGCAAAACUGAAAUAAGACCAAGUAAUCAUGGAGCAUAAAACAAUUCUCACCCUAAAAUUCGUUGACCGGAAGCGCAGCAUAAAGCAAGUAUUAUUUUGAAUGGAUAGUCACAAUAACAGAAAGUUCUCUGCUUCUUAUAAUGUUCGUUUCAAAAACUGUUACAAAGAUUAUAUGAAUGAAAGUAGAUGAAAAGACUUUCUUUACCAUUGACGAUGGCUAUUCUGUCGACCAUUAACUGAGCAUUGCCCUGAAUAUGCCCUAAAAGUCAAUGCAUACAAUAAACAACAAGGCAUUUUAUAUGUCUUUUCAUUUUCAUGUGCAUUAUGGGUGAGUCGAUGAUGUCAAAGGCGCAUUAUGAUAAAAUAUGGAACUCAAAUAUUUGAAGUUUUAUUU